GUAUUUUAUUCCCAAAUUUGGUGUUAAUUGCAGAUUUCUAAGGAAGAUUGGAGAUUUGGAUUAAAGAUUAAUGAUUUGAGCUAAAAAGAUAAAGAUAGGAGGUCCCAGAAUGGAAAAGAUGCAAAGAAAGAUUGGGCCUUUUUUAUGUUUUAUCAUUUAGCCCAUUAGCGCGACACAAUAAACAACCUAACCCUAGAAAACUAGGAUAAAUAGAGGGCUAGAGGCUCAAACUUAGUGUGCCAGAUUGAGAGGAAAACACCAUAGAGUGAAUUGUAACCCAAUUGGGAGAAUGGAAGGUGAUAGAAGUAUGCGUGGCUAAUUCUACCCUUUGGGAUUGGGAGUAAUCUGCUCAAACUCUUAUGUAUUGAGGUGAUAUUUUAUAUAUUAAUAUUCAG
This 395-nucleotide long non-coding RNA is filed under the name Phaseolus vulgaris (common bean). RNAcentral's name for it is "long non-coding RNA (PVUL_LNC004957)". Lineage: Eukaryota; Viridiplantae; Streptophyta; Magnoliopsida; Fabales; Fabaceae. The record is from RNAcentral.